CAAAAACAUCUUUUCUUGUUAGUUUUUGAAGUAUGGCCUGCCCACUGACUUUGAGUUGAAGGGCCGCGGUAUUUUGACCGUGCAAAGGUAGCAUAAUCAUUAGUUCUUUAAUUGUGAUCUGGUAUGAAUGGCUUGACGAGACAUAAGCUGUCUUAGAGGUAUUAUUUAUUGAAUUUGGUUUUUGAGUUAAAAUUCUUAGAUGUUUUUAUGGGACGAGAAGACCCUAUAGAGUUUGACAUUUGUUUUGUUUAUUUUUAUAUAGUUUGUUUUUUUAUAUAAGCUGGAUUAAUGUUUUGUUGGGGUGAUGGGAGGAAUUUUUUUAACUCCUCUUUACUUUUAUAUAUUUAUUUAUAUUUGUUUGAUCCAUUUAUUUUGAUUAUAAAAUUAAAUUACCUU
Molecule: ribosomal RNA, 396 nt
Filed under: Cornitermes ovatus
Lineage: Eukaryota; Metazoa; Arthropoda; Insecta; Blattodea; Termitidae
Description: partial 16S ribosomal RNA
Source: RNAcentral